UCCUACUUCCUUCUACAGUACUCUUGACAUUCUUUCAACACCCCCUAGAAACAACAGCAGGUGGCCUGGCAGAGAUUGUGUUGAUGAGAGUCUAUCAAUAAAGAUUUAAAUUAGAGCCAUCAUCUGGAGUUCAUUGUCCCCUUUUUGCGCCAUGAAAGACGAUGAAUGACAUUGCUCUGCAAAACCUUAGGGCCUCCUUUUAAAACCCUGUCCUCCAUAAUGAUGAGACCCAGGAGCCGAUCUAAGGACAGUAUACACCUACACAUACCAUUCUCACACAAACACACACGCACACGCACACACACAGACACACAUACAAAAACAGUUGGGCAGAAACUGAAGUGACCUGUCUUGUUCCCCCCCACACACACACACACACACGCACGUUUUGGCAAGCUGACAAAAAGGAUUUAGUCCAGCCUGUUGUUGUCAUUACAAGUGUAUUAACCUUUUAAAAAAAAAGCUUGUGUGCAUGUGUGCAUGUGCGCUUGUGUGAGAUUGUGUGUAGGUAAGGCCCUCAGGAUGGAAAAAACCCCAAAACACCUUGUCAUUGCUCAGAGUUUCCACUGUCUCCUGCCAUUUCUCUCCUGCUUUCUCCUUCCCGCUGGAAGAAAACACAAAGCAGUGUCUGUAGCUCUCAUUUAGACAUCAGCUCUCUCGCUCCUCGUUUCCUCUUGUGCAGUGGGAAGAUGUUGCUUCGUGAGACUACUGCUUGCUGCACAUUUUCUUUCCCCUUUUCAUUGGGCCGUUGACAUUCAACAUUGCUUGAUUGUCUUUCUGCUAUGUAAACACAACUUGGUUCACAUUGAAACUGUAGUGGCUGUAACACAACUCGGACCACACACGGAGACAAUAUUAACAGUUCCACAGCAGACUAAACAAGCAUCUUCACAAACAAUGUUUUUUUGGUUAUGAGUACACAAAUACGUAUAUGAGUUUGACUAGAUUCCAAGCUAGGAAUUGGAGCGUACUGUUAGAGUUGGAUGAGUCAACAGUAUAAUCUGAUCCUGGAGUUUUAUCUGGCCAAUGUUGCUUGCUUCUUGCCUUUGUGAAAUGAGGGGAAGGGGUCACUUGCGGUUAUUUGGGAGGUUCAUAUUGCAUUUACUUAAUUACUCACAUUUUCAAUAAUGGUAAAAGCAUAUGUUUGACUAAACAAAUAAGAAUCGAUUCAAUUUGAAUAUCAAUUUACUGCAAGUUUGACAAUACAUCUGGAGAUAUUCAAGACUGUUUGAAGCAAGCGGGAGAAUCAUACUCAUCUUACACAUGUCGAUGGUUUCCACAAUACCUAUAAUAUAUAUAUAUAUAUAUAUAUAUAUAUAUAUAUAUAUAUAUAUGGAUGGAUUUGUGGAGAUUUCUUGAGUUUGCUUGAGUUUUGAAAUUGUUUCAUUUGAAAAUCUACAGUUCUCCUGAAGCGUUAUCUUUAGACUGAAGCGAACUGUGUGUGAACCAGCAUACAUAUUUAUCUGGUGGUUGGGUUGGCUGUGACUUGGUAUUUAGUUAUGUGUAGUAGUUUGUGUGCACUCGUGUGUCGGUGUGUGAACUGUCCUGCAAGGAUCUGACUUCUCCCUGUGUAGAUGUGGACUUCAUUGUUUAUCGGCCCGCCCCAUCCUCUCUCUCUCUCUCUCUCUCUCUCUCUCUCUCUCUCUCUCUCUCUCUCUCUCUCUGUCGCUCUGCCUUUUUGUCUCCCCUUUUCAUACCUCUCAGCCCAUCAAAAACAAGACGUUCUCACACCGCAAAAUACAACAUAAAGGAGCCAGAUUCGGUCUCCCACCGCAUAAUUCUUUCUGAAAAAGCUGGCAAAGAACAGAGUGAGGAGAGGGCUGAGAAAAGGCGUCUCCCGGCCAUCUUUUCACAGGGAUGGCCAUGUCUAAUUGUGUCACUGUGAUAAAUGAAUAGUUUUUUUUCCUUGUUUCUUUAUUUUGCAAAGGAACCCCCUCCUCGGCAAAAUAAAGAAACAAGGGGAAAAAAAACGACCAGGAACCCCCUGCUUCCCCCGGACCAGAGGCCCAGCUGAAGUAGGAGGUGGGGGAGCAGUAGGAGGUGGGGGAGCAGUAGGAGGUGGGGGAGGUGGGUGAGGGUGGGAGCUGGGGGAGGAGUAGGUCUAUUGAUUUUCUUCUGUAAUUUAAAGGGUAAAAAAAUAAUCAUUUUCAUUUUUUUCACAAAUAAUAGUUGGCAAUAAUAGUUAAUAGUUAAGGGAGGACAUCUAUUUCAGGUAAUUUAUGACAAAUCCUAAGGUUCAUGGUUUUGCAAUACAUCCCCGAAACAUUGUGUGUGUGUGUGUGUGUGUGUGUGUGUGUGUGUGUGUGUGUGUGUGUGUGUGUGUGUGUGUGUGUGUGUGUGUGUGUGUGUGUUGUGAACAGAGAAUCCACUGUCUGUUGGUAGCCAUGCGUUACUGUGCCUUCCGCACCCCCUCCACACACACAUAACACACACACCCCUUUUCUGCUUCUCUCUUUCAAUUUCAAAUUGUUUGCCACCCAACCUCUAUUCCCUUUUUUUCUGGACUUUUCUUCAUUCCAUAUCUCUCAACAUCUCUUGGCCCUUCUCUUUAUUUUACCUAAUUUGAAGUUAACCUAUUCCUUUCUCCCUCCUCUCUUCCUUCCUUGACCCCCUCUCGCUAUUGUUACCCUCUCUCCUUCCUCCCUCCCUCCCCCUCUUUCUUUCUUUCUUUCUUUCUCACUAUGGCCUCCAGGUUAUCUUAGCAUAUGUCUGUUUGUGUGUUCGUAUUGUCGGUGCGCCAUGGUUUGUUAAGUGCUCAUGCCUCGCCAAACCUUUGUUGCAACAUGCAGCAUGUUACGGUGGAAAGCAUUGCUUUGAGCUGGCUGAAGAGAAAGCAUCAUGCAUGGAUCUUCUCAUCAGCAGAAUUUUGGAACAUUAUGUGUAAUGAAAGUGCAAUAUCAACUGCUCCACUACUAAAUCCUGACCCCAGAAUUAUUACUGGGAUGCGAUAUGUUUUCUUCAUCCAGAUAAGAAGUCAGGAUGUCAUAGCGAAACACUAUAUGCACGUAUGCUUCAGCUACAGUAUUUAAUGUUUUAUAGUGUUCCGCUAUAUAAAAAUAAAAGGCUGCGUUACAGUGUCUUUAGUCUCACAGUCCAACCAUGUACAGACUGCAGGGUUGAGGGGAGAAAUGGGCACAGGCCUUAAUUGUAGCCCUCUCAAUAGCAACUCGCUCUCACAGUCACACACACCCACACACACACACACCCACACACACACACACACACACACACACACACACACACACACACACACACACACACACACACACACACACACACACACACACACACACACACACACACACACACACAUA
Molecule: long non-coding RNA, 3314 nt
Organism: Gadus macrocephalus (Pacific cod)
Lineage: Eukaryota; Metazoa; Chordata; Actinopteri; Gadiformes; Gadidae
Exons: 2
Source: RefSeq, a predicted model, not a curated record